UCCCGCGUAGCUCAGUGGCAGAGCGUCCGACUGUUAAUCGGAUGGUCGCUGGUUCGAAUCCAGCCGCGGGAG
This 72-nucleotide transfer RNA is filed under the name Arcanobacterium sp. S3PF19. It matches the Rfam family "tRNA". Rfam says of the family: Transfer RNA (tRNA) molecules are approximately 80 nucleotides in length. Their secondary structure includes four short double-helical elements and three loops (D, anti-codon, and T loops). Lineage: Bacteria; Bacillati; Actinomycetota; Actinomycetes; Actinomycetales; Actinomycetaceae. The record is from Rfam by way of RNAcentral.